UGGUCUUGUCAGUGUUGACCUCUUUAGUUUUAUGGAGCGGUCACGUACAAACAUGCUAGAUUAACACAAAACAUUUGGGAGUUAACAGGGCCACCGGUCUCUCAAGGUCAGGCUGAGUUGGUAGUAUAAUACUCCCACACGC
This is a small nucleolar RNA of Thalassophryne amazonica, 142 nucleotides long. RefSeq annotates it as small nucleolar RNA U109. NCBI's taxonomy places the organism in Eukaryota, Metazoa, Chordata, Actinopteri, Batrachoidiformes, Batrachoididae. The transcript has a single exon. The record is from RefSeq and is a predicted model, not a curated record.